AUUGAACGCUGGCGGCAGGCUUAACACAUGCAAGUCGAGCGAGCGGCGGACGGGUGAGUAAUGUCUGGGAAACUGCCUGAUGGAGGGGGAUAACUACUGGAAACGGUAGCCAAUACCGCAUACCCUCAGUGUUGCCCAGAAGGGAUUAGCUGGUAGGGGGGGUAAUGGCUCACCUGGGCGACGAUCCCCAGCGGGUCUGAGGGGCUGACCAGCCACCCUGGAACUGAGACACGGUCCAGACUCCUACGGGAGGCAGCAGUGGGGAAUAUUGCACAAUGGGCGCAAGCCUGAUGCAGCCAUGCCGCGUGUGUGAAGAAGGCCUUCGGGUUGUAAAGCACUUUCAGCGAGGAGGCGUUACUCGCAGAAGAAGCACCGGCUAACUCCGUGCCAGCAGCCGCGGUAAUUC
RNAcentral lists this ribosomal RNA (406 nucleotides) under uncultured bacterium. RNAcentral describes it as "partial 16S ribosomal RNA". It matches the Rfam family "Bacterial small subunit ribosomal RNA", at positions 30 to 526 of the family's 1533-position model. The record is from RNAcentral.